AGCCUUUGGUCCCUUCAAAGGUGUAUCCUGCCCACUGAUCCUUUUUUAACGGCCGCAGUACCUUGACUGUGCUAAGGUAGCGUAAUCAGUUGGCUUUUAAUUGGAGUCGAGAAUGAACGGGCAAACGGGGGUUAACUGUCUCUGGACUGUUUUAUUGAACUUACUUAAAAGGUGAAAAUUCCUUUUCAAAGAAAAAAGACGAGAAGACCCUUGGAGUUUUUACUAUAUAUGUUUCUGUACGUUUUUGUUGGGGCGACAAGAAGGCAGUCUAUAACCCUUCAUGGAAAUCUAUGACUUGACGGUUUUUUCAAGAAAGAAUAAACUACCCUAGGGAUAACAGCAUAAUGUUUAAAAAGCUUGUGACCUCGAUGUUGGACUAGGAACUAAAUGGCUAGCCGUCAAGUUAG
This 407-nucleotide ribosomal RNA is filed under the name Pseudunela viatoris. Its description in RNAcentral is "partial 16S ribosomal RNA". It matches the Rfam family "Archaeal large subunit ribosomal RNA", at positions 1908 to 2644 of the family's 2987-position model. The record is from RNAcentral. Lineage: Eukaryota; Metazoa; Mollusca; Gastropoda; Acochlidiacea; Pseudunelidae.